AGAGUUUGAUCAUGGCUCAGGAUGAACGCUUGCGGUCGGCUUUACACAUGCAAGUUGAGCGGCAGCACGAGAUAGCAAUAUCUUGGUGGCGAGCGGCGAAUGGGUGAGUAACGCGUAGGUAACUUACCCCUAACAGGGGGAUAGCCCGGCGAAAGCUGGAUUAAUACCCCGGAGAUCUCAUUAUGGCCUCAUAAAGAGAUUAAAGCUACGGCGGUUAGGGAUAGGCCUGCGUCCCAUUAGUUAGUUGGUGAGGUAAUGGCUCACCAAGGCGACGAUGGGUAGGGGGUUUGAAAGGAUGAUCCUCCACACUGGUACUGAGACACGGACCAGACUCCUACGGGAGGCAGCAGUGAGGAAUAUUGCGCAAUGGGCGAAAGCCUGACGCAGCCAGACCGCGUGCAGGAAGACGGCCGUAAGGUUGUAAACUGCUUUUGUCAGAGAGGAAAACAGGGUAUGUAUACCCAUCUGACAGUAUCUGACGAAUAAGCACCGGCUAACUCCGUGCCAGCAGUCGCGGUAAUACGGAGGGUGCAGGCGUUAUCCGGAAUUACUAGGUUUAAAGGGUCUGUAGGCGGUAUUAUAAGUCAGUGGUGAAAGGUUCGAGCUCAACUCGGGAAGUGCCAUUGAUACUGUAGUACUUGAGUGUAAUUUACGUAGGCGGAAUGCAUCAUGUAGCGGUGAAAUGCUUAGAUAUGAUGCAGAACACCGAUAGCGAAGGCAGCUUACGGAGUUACAACUGACGCUGAUAGACGAAAGCGUGGGGAGCGAACAGGAUUAGAUACCCUGGUAGUCCACGCCGUAAACGAUGAUCACUAGUUUUUGGUAAUUUAUUAUCAGAGACUGAGCGAAAGCAUUAAGUGAUCCACCUGGGGAGUACGUUCGCAAGAAUGAAACUCAAAGGAAUUGACGGGGGCCCGCACAAGCGGAGGAACAUGUGGUUUAAUUCGAUGAUACGCGAGGAACCUUACCUGGGCUUAAAUGUAGGGCGUUUUCGGACGUAGACCGACGAAAGUUGGCUUAGACCUACAAGGUGCUGCAUGGUUGUCGUCAGCUCGUGCCGUGAGGUGUCGGGUUAAGUCCCAUAACGAGCGCAACCCUCAUCAAUAGUUGCCAACAGAUAUAGCUGGGCACUCUAUUGAAACUGCCAUCGUAAGAUGAGAGGAAGGUGGGGAUGACGUCAAAUCAGCACGGCCUUUAUGUCCAGGGCUACACACGUGUUACAAUGGUCGGUACAGAGGGCAGCCACUUGGUGACAAGGAGCGAAUCCCAAAAGCCGGCCACAGUUCGGAUUGGAGUCUGCAAUUCGACUCCAUGAAGCCGGAUUCGCUAGUAACCGCGUAUCAGCAAUGACGCGGUGAAUACGUUCCCGGGCCUUGUACACACCGCCCGUCAAGCCAUGGAAGCUGGGUGCACCUAAAGUCCGUGACCGCAAGGAGCGGCCUAGGGUGAAACUAGUGACUGGGGCUAAGUCGUAACAAAUCAC
This 1483-nucleotide ribosomal RNA is filed under the name uncultured bacterium. Its description in RNAcentral is "bacterial SSU rRNA". It matches the Rfam family "Bacterial small subunit ribosomal RNA". The record is from RNAcentral.